RNAcentral lists this non-coding RNA (22 nucleotides) under Arabidopsis thaliana (thale cress). Lineage: Eukaryota; Viridiplantae; Streptophyta; Magnoliopsida; Brassicales; Brassicaceae. The record is from RNAcentral.
UUGUUGAUCGUUCAAAGCGCCU